AAAGCAUGUGCCAGACGGCAGACAACCACAGUUUCUGCAAAAUGACCUUGGUAGAAAACAGCGGUUUUAAGCCACGUAGCAAGUGGUUGAAACCAAAUUCAGCAUGACCUUUAAACGCCCUUGGAAGACAGCCGUACUCUGCCAACCAUGCGGAGUGUUAGGGUCGGCAACGCGCAUGAAACUCCUCUGGAGUUGCAGGCGUACAUAGGCUACGGAGACUGCUUACCAUCAGGCGGGCCGUAUGCUUGUUUGCCACCGACGUAGUAUAAAUAUAUAUUUAUAUGUAUAUAACUUUUUUUUUUUUUUUCAGUCUGAUGAACGCGACAACCGCCAGAUUAACAUCAAUAAUUAUUACGGGCCGGAUGGGGGACGGGUCAAUGGACAACAG
This is a long non-coding RNA of Cydia pomonella (codling moth), 388 nucleotides long. RefSeq lists it as uncharacterized. Lineage: Eukaryota; Metazoa; Arthropoda; Insecta; Lepidoptera; Tortricidae. The transcript has 3 exons. The record is from RefSeq and is a predicted model, not a curated record.